GGUUUUGGCUCAUUGGUAGAGUGCUUGCCUGGCACGUGUGAGGCACUGGGUUCAAUCCUCAGCACCG
RNAcentral lists this transfer RNA (67 nucleotides) under Marmota monax (woodchuck). RNAcentral's name for it is "tRNA.Ala". Lineage: Eukaryota; Metazoa; Chordata; Mammalia; Rodentia; Sciuridae. The record is from RNAcentral.